Long non-coding RNA from Trichechus manatus latirostris (Florida manatee), 931 nucleotides. RefSeq lists it as uncharacterized. The record is from RefSeq and is a predicted model, not a curated record. The transcript is spliced from 3 exons. Lineage: Eukaryota; Metazoa; Chordata; Mammalia; Sirenia; Trichechidae.
GCCUGCAGGGAGGUGGGAGGGCGCGGGGCUGGGGCGGAGCAGCGGGUUCUGCCGCCCCGAAACUCGUCUGUCCGCACCUCUUCGCGCUCCCUGGUUGGGCUGAAGGAGGAACCAUCUCCAAGAGAGCCGAAAACUGGAAAGAAGAGGGCGGCUUCUCCGAGAUCAGCCCAAGUUUGCAGUUCCUUAUGGUUGUGACAUCUCUAAUAUAGCAUGCUCCUCUAAUUGGAAAUCUCCAUUGGAAAUGUUACAAAGAGACUUUGCAUUCAGAGACUACAUCCUGGAGAAAGAAUCUGGUAAGAGUAUGGGAUGUUCUUCUUUGACAUAUCACAACAGAUUGAAUCUAGAAGCAAAUAUGAGGAUCCAGCUGUCUUCUACUUGGCUAGACAUCAAAGAGAUUUGCAAAAAUGCAAAACAAUGCCACGCUUCUCAAUGAAAUUUUUUUUUUUUGUUUGGAAAGUAUAGUUAUUUUUUUCCAAAAAGGUUAUUAUUGUUAUUUUAAAAUGAGUUAAAAAUAAAUAUUUAAAGUUCUUAGUUUUAAUUUCUAUUACAUUUUGAUGACACCUAACAGCAAGUAUUGAUAACUAUAAGGCACAUAAGCAAAAAUUCACUGGAGUCCUCAAUAAUUUUUAAGAGUAUAAAUGUGCCAUGGGCCCAAAAUGUUUGAGAACUGAUGCAAAUCACUAUUUACUUUUGUUGCACAACACUCCCUCUUCCACCAUAAAUGACAGAUUUUCUGUUGAGUUUUUUUCCAUUCUAGGUAAAGAAAAUAGGCUCUUCCAUCACAUUAUUUUACUACUGCAUCUGUCUUUAACAAUCUUCAUUGUAAUCUUUUACCUCUGUUUUAUGUUAAUCCAAAGUCUUAAUUAAUCGAAUUAUGCUUUAAAAGGAAAAUACAGAUUAGAUUUCGAAGACUUAGUACAAAAAAGAAAAA